AUACGGAGGGAGCGAGCGUUAAUCGGAAUUACUGGGCGUAAAGCGCGCGUAGGCGGUCUAUUAAGUCAGAUGUGAAAUCCCAGGGCUCAACCUUGGAACUGCAUCUGAUACUGGUAGACUAGAGUUUUGGAGAGGGAAGUAGAAUUUCAGGUGUAGCGGUGAAAUGCAUAGAGAUCUGAAGGAAUACCAGUGGCGAAGGCGACUUCCUGGCCAAAAACUGACGCUGAGGUGCGAAAGCGUGGGUAGCAAACGGGAUUAGAAACCCCAGUAGUCC
This 274-nucleotide ribosomal RNA is filed under the name uncultured bacterium. Its description in RNAcentral is "partial 16S ribosomal RNA". It matches the Rfam family "Bacterial small subunit ribosomal RNA", at positions 523 to 796 of the family's 1533-position model. The record is from RNAcentral.